RNAcentral lists this small RNA (125 nucleotides) under Marmota monax (woodchuck). Lineage: Eukaryota; Metazoa; Chordata; Mammalia; Rodentia; Sciuridae. The record is from RNAcentral.
GCCAGGAGUGGUGGCGCACGCCUGUAAUCCCAUUAGCUUAGGAGGCUGAGGCAGGAGGAUCACGAGUUCAAAGCCAGCCUCAGCAGAGGUUAGGUGCUAAGCAACUCAAUGAGACCCUGUCUCUA